Molecule: ribosomal RNA, 728 nt
Filed under: uncultured eukaryote
Lineage: Eukaryota
Description: SSU rRNA
Rfam family: Eukaryotic small subunit ribosomal RNA
Source: RNAcentral
AAACGAUGCCACCAGUAAUUCGCCUGAGUUCCUUAAAUGACUCGGCGAGGGACUUCCGGGAAACCAAAGUCUUUCGGUUCCAGGGGAAGUAUGGUUGCAAAGCUGAAACUUAAAGAAAUUGACGGAAGGGCACCACCAGGAGUGGAGCCUGCGGCUUAAUUUGACUCAACACGGGAAAACUCACCCGGCCCGGACACUGGAAGGAUUGACAGAUUGAGAGCUCUUUCUUGAUUCAGUGGGUGGUGGUGCAUGGCCGUUCUUAGUUGGUGGAGUGAUUUGUCUGGUUAAUUCCGAUAACGAACGAGACUCUAGCCUACUAAAUAGAUCGUCGGCUUACAAACGCUGACGAGACUUCUUAGAGGGACAGGCGGCGGUUCAGCCGCACGAAACAGAGCAAUAACAGGUCUGUGAUGCCCUUAGAUGUCCGGGGCUGCACGCGCGCUACACUGAAGUGAUCAGCGUGCAAUUUACGUUUGGUGAUCUGUCAAGAUUGCCCAACCCGUUGAACCUUCUUCGUGAUUGGGAUAGGGGAUUGUAAUUAUUCCCCUUGAACGAGGAAUUCCCAGUAAGCGCAAGUCAUAAGCUUGCGUUGAUUACGUCCCUGCCCUUUGUACACACCGCCCGUCGCUACUACUGAUUGAAUGAAUUAGUGAGGUCUUCGGACUGGCCUGUGCUGGCUGUUUCGGCAGCUGCACAUGGCUCGGGAAGAUGCCCAAACUUGUUCAUUU